This 213-nucleotide unclassified non-coding RNA is filed under the name plant metagenome. RNAcentral describes it as "partial contains small subunit ribosomal RNA, internal transcribed spacer 1, and 5.8S ribosomal RNA". The record is from RNAcentral.
UUUCCGUAGGUGAACCUGCGGAAGGAUCAUUCAUAAUAAGUGUUUUAUGGCACUUUUUUAAAUACAUAUCCACCUUGUGUGCAAUGUCAGGGUUGAAUUUUCUCUCGAGAGGAUCAACCCCAAACACCAACUAUAUCUCAACUCUUUGACUGAAAAAUAUUAUGAAUAAAACAAUUCAAAAUACAACUUUCAACAACGGAUCUCUUGGCUCUC